Non-coding RNA from Kogia breviceps (pygmy sperm whale), 4767 nucleotides. The record is from RefSeq and is a predicted model, not a curated record. Lineage: Eukaryota; Metazoa; Chordata; Mammalia; Artiodactyla; Physeteridae.
GUCAAUGAAGAUACAACCCAAACUGUGGCUGCCACUUAAAGUGCAGGUCAAACCCAUUAGCUGGGUACGAACAUACACAAGUUGUCUUAUGAUGCAUUAUCAGUGCCUGAUAGUGUACCACAAGGGAGAUCACAAAUUUUCAUCCAUGGGGCAAGAAAGAGCCUUCUAGAGAGAAGCACGCACAGUCUGGAAAUGCGCUACAAAAGGGGCUUGAGGGAUUUUCCCAACUGAGCCCACUCAGUAGCCUUUGGUUUUCAAUGUGAAUACGAGAGGAAACAGAGGUCUGCUUCUCACUUUGUGCAAAAGCUGCCUUUAUCCAUUCUUGGACCCACCCGAAUCACAGGAGAGGGGGGCACCCUGCUGCAUGGGGCCUUGUGGUCAUUCACAUGAUUCUCCAUAGAAACCCCAGAUCAUCUCCCCCAAAAGGAACAAUUCCCCAAAGAAUUUAGGAUGCACGAGGAAGACGUUGUCUCCAGGGUCGUUGCUAUGAUGACAGACAUUCCCCUUGAAAGCCCCAAAUGCCCGUAAAUGUCAAAAAUCUGGGUGUUUGGUGCUCUGAGGAUGGAGCCUGCAGAUUCCAUGGCCCCUUUCUGGGCUAAGUUUCUCUCUUCCCGGCCCAGAUUUAUUUUCAAGGGCUUAGCUUCGGGGAACGAUGGGAAUGUUUCAGCUCCCAUCAGGGAAGGAGUGCUCCUGACCACAAGGAGAAAAAGCCCCCAAUACAUUUCACAGACACCAGCGAGGAUUCUGCAAAGUCCAUUCUUUCAAGAACAAAAUUGCAUUUUAUGAAGCCGUCCCUUUUCUGUUUCAUCUGUCAAGAAGGUUUGCUGAGAAUAAUUUAAAUUUCAUGCAGCAGCAACUGCAGGGCAGCGGUGCUUCCUUCCCAUCCCAUAAACAGGCCUGGCUGCCGAGUCUCAUUUCUGCUUCUCAGCAGCACCCUCCCCCUGCAGCCAUGAUUGCCUGGAGCCCAGAGUGCCGGGCUCGGGGGGUGGGGUGGGGGUGGGAGCAUCCAAUGAGCUCCCCUUUAGUCUACUGGCUCCAACCAACAGGUGGACUGGUCUCCCCCAAAUGUAUGGAUAUUUGGUCGGACCCAGUCUCUGAUUUACCGUUUUAAAAUUAACUUUUAUUGAGUGUUUAACAAGUGAGGUACUAUUCUAUGCUUUUCUACACAUAUUAAUUUAACCAAUCCUCACGACAUUUCCAUGAGAAACAUACUAUUAUCAUUCCCAUCUUAUAGACAAAGAAACUGAGGCUUCGAGACUUACUCAGCUCCUACAUGGCAGAGGUAAGAUUCAAACCCAGUUCUGUUUGACUCAAGGGCUUGAAGCUCUCACCAGCUGUGCCAUGUUGAAUCAACAUAAUCUUUGGCCUAAAUUUUUCUGCAUAUAACACAAGAUGUAUCUAUCUAUCUAUCUAUCUAUCUAUCUACCCAUUUUCUUGCCAAAAUUCAGUGUUUGCUGCCAGCUAGGUGGAUGAGAGGAUGGGAAAAGUUACUAUAACAAUGCUGCAGUAUUGGUUACCAUGGUGAAUGCACUGUGCCAGGCAGCCUGGGGUGGGGAAAGGAGCCAGUCCAGGCCGAUUCUCUUUCUCACUCCCUGGGUGACCUCUGCAAGUCUUUCUUUCUCCAGGUCUUACCCUUCUUUUUUUUUUUUUUUUUUUUUUUUUUAAAUUUUUGUGUUCUGGUUUCUUUCUUUUUAAAAAAUAAUUAAUUAAUUAAAUUUAUUUUCGGCUGCGUUGGGUCUUCGUUGCUGCGUAUGGGCUUUCUCUAGUUGCGGUGAGUGGGGUCUAUUCUUCGUUGCGGUGCGUGGGCUUCUCAUUGCGGUGACUUCUCUUGUUGCGGAGCACGGGCUCUAGGUGCAUGGGCUUCAGCAGUUGUGGCUCGCGGGCUCAGUAGUCGUGGCUCGCGGGCUCUAGAGCGCAGGCUCAGUAGUUGUGGCCCAUGGGCUUUGUUGCCCUGCAGCACAUGGGAAUCUUCCAGGACCAGGGCUCGAACCCAUGUCCCCUGCCUUGGCAGGCGGAUUCUUAACCACUGCGCCACCAGGGAGGUCCCAAGUCUCACUCUUCUGAUCUACAGAAUAGAGGGGCUGGGUGGCACGGUUAUUUCUACUCCUCCUGGGUUCUGGGAAUUUGUGGCUUAGAGGAUCAAGAGCUGAUCUAGGCCCCAGGGAAGCAGUUUAUUGGUCUGAGAAAUGACAGAGUGUGUAGUGUGUGUGUGUGUGUGUGUGUGUGUGUGUGUGUGUGUGUGUGUGUGUGUGUGUAUGUGUGGGUGCAUCUGGCCAGGCCCUCCUCAUGCCUCAGUGGCCCAGGAGUCUGUGCUCGUCCAAGUGGCCUUUUGGCCUUUCAUCUAAAUCAUGCAAGAAAUCCUCAGGCCCCGGAAAAAGGAAGAAGCCAAAAAUCAACUCAGGCCUGAAGGCAGCAGUGACAGAAAGACUUGUCAUCACUUGCCUAACUAGCUGCUGGGAGCAUAGCCAGCCCCCCACCCUGGAGAUGCCCGCAGCCCCCAGAGCAUGUGACGCUCAGCCAGCUCCACACCCAGCCCACUGGGGAUGCUAAGGCCUCACAGUGUUGACACUUGUUACCUUGUUGCGGACCUUUCCCUGAGUCCUCAGGGGUGGCUCGGGCUCACAUGGGGCACUAGACUCUUCAAUGAGGAAGCCAGGCCAGUACAUUCAAGCAGCCUUUACUACACGCGGGGCAGCAGGAACACACAAAAGGAAGAGGAACACACAGCCCUGCUCCUGGCUUCCAUGCAGCUCGCUGUCUCCCCCAGUCUUCCACCAGAGUGGGGGGGCCUUGGCACUGUGUAGAUACUGGGCUUUGUUGGAGGAAAGGGCCCAAGGCUGACAAAGGCUUUAACACACCUCCCCUCCGUCAUCUAUCACCAGGUGGUGCUGACUCAGUCUCAGUUUGAGGCCCGCUAGACGCCCCCUUCCCUCCAGCCCAUCUUGCUGCCGUGUCACCUUGGUCAUGUCACAAGGUCAGCUUGAGGCCUAACCACUCACAAACCCAAUUCCUCUCCCCGCCUGCUUGUGGCCUAGCUCCUGUCUCUUAUCUGAAGUCUUACCUUUUCCUCUUGGUGAGGCCAGCAAUGAUCACCUUUCCUUACAGGGUGGCCUUGUCCCAUGGGCCUCCUCUGGGUGACCGUGACAAUGGUGAUGGCGAUAGCACCUCUACAGGACUUACCGUUUGCCGGGCUUGGCUCUGUUCCGAGCACUUUACAUGAGUUUUAACUCACACGGUCCUCACAACAGCUCUGACGGCAGGUACUACCACCUACUCCCGUGUUAUAGAAGUGAGGCCUAGAGAGGUUCGGUAAGUCACCCAGGGUCACUCAGCAAGCACGGGAUAGAAUGGAACUCAAAUCUAGGCGGUCUGGCUCCAAAGUCUGUCUUUAUCCACUCCCUGAAGCUGCCUCUGCCCACAGCCUCAGUGGGAGAGACAUUCUCAAGCCAUUUGCCCAGGUCACAGAUUCAUUAUAUUCUGCCCGUGAGCUCCCUGAGGGCAAGAGCCUGCCCUGGGCUGCUCAAAAGACGCAACUUGUUGACCAGGGAAACCGCAGACACCUCCGUUUGGCCUGCCUGUCGCUUGAUGUGGUCCUCGUGUAGGGUUAGACAAAUAGGCCGGGGACAGGCAUCUGGGGGCUCGGCAGCUAGGCCAGAAGGGCAGAAAGGCACCACGGCCCAACUUCAACCACAGGGCCCUGGAUGGGAGACACUGCUGCCUGCUGUCCUCCCUGCCUCCGCACACCCGGUUCUCCUGAGCACCCCGAAGAAUCCAGGGUGCCAUCAGGCACCUCUGCUUGACGGGACAAGCCCCUGCAGGUGUGACACUGGGCUGGAGGUGGCUGUGGGGGCAGGUGUGCUGAGGAGCUGGCUGUGCUCUCAGGCAUGAACUUUCAGCCCCUGUCCCCCCCAGCCACUCAGCUCAGUCCUCGCCCAGCUGUUGUUUUCUGUCUGACACUGGGUUCCUUUCUUCCCAUGUGCUGUGGUUUGGAGCCCAGCCAGUUAGAGCUGAUGAAUAUUGAGCUGCUUGGGAGCAAAGCAGGAGCUGCGUGGGCAGGGCGGGCCCUCGCCGAGAGGCCUCGCCACUUCCCUCGCUUGGCGGGGCCCAAACCCCUGAGGCACAGCCUGAUGCCGUCCCUAAAAAGGCCUCCACCCUUGAGAGGGCAGAAACCAUCAAGUGGGCUCCCAGGUCCAGCUCCUCUCUCUCCACCUGGAGUCCUCAGCAGUCAGCUCCAGAGGCUGCCAUCCUCCAGAUGGCCAACAGCUGGCCUAGCUGAGCGGCUGCCAGAUGUGGCCGGCGGGGCAGCCGGCUGGGUCCAUCGGGCAGAGGUCAACGCCUUGGAGCAGUGCUGGGGGCUGGCGCCUGGGAAGGAGUGUGUCUGGCUGGUCUGGGGGUAUCAUGCCCAAAUCACCCUCCAUCUCCUCUCCCCCCGUCCAACAUUCCUUCCCUCCCCACCUCAGUGGGGCGGUGUUUUCAUAACAGGAAAAUAAAAUCAAUAAGGCACUGCAGAAGAUGUCAGCGCACUCCGAGCUGGCCUCCAAUAGCUCCAUUGUCUCGGGCCUCUGCCGGCAGCACUCUCAGUUAUUAAUGGGAAGCGGGGCUGAAAGGGAGUUUUGAAAAUCACCGAGACAAAGGCACGGCACACCUGGAGCACGACUUUCCAAUACCACGUCCGCCUCACAACGGCUGGGGCCGGGGCUCCCCAACCUUUAACUUCUCCCACAGCUUUUAUGAAAGCAGAAAAGACAAGACUAGACACACACACAC